RNAcentral lists this ribosomal RNA (400 nucleotides) under uncultured bacterium. RNAcentral describes it as "bacterial SSU rRNA". It matches the Rfam family "Bacterial small subunit ribosomal RNA", at positions 362 to 776 of the family's 1533-position model. The record is from RNAcentral.
UAUUGGGCAAUGGGCGCAAGCCUGACCCAGCAACGCCGCGUGAAGGAAGAAGGCCCUCGGGUUGUAAACUUCUUUUAUCAAGGACGAAAAAAAUGAUGGUACGUGAUGAAUAAGCCACGGCUAACUACGUGCCAGCAGCCGCGGUAAUACGUAGGUGGCAAGCGUUAUCCGGAUUUACUGGGUGUAAAGGGAGUGUAGGCGGGACUGCAAGUCAGAUGUGAAAACCAUGGGCUCAACCCAUGGCCUGCGUUUGAAACUGUAGUUCUUGAGUGUUGGAGAGGCAGGCGGAAUUCUGUGUGUAGCGGUGAAAUGCGUAGAUAUACGGAGGAACACCAGUGGCGAAGGCGGCCUGCUGGACAAUAACUGACGCUGGGGCGCGAAAGCGUGGGGAGCAAACAGG